UAGGGAAUCUUCGGCAAUGGGGGGAACCCUGACCGAGCAACGCCGCGUGAGUGAAGAAGGUUUUCGGAUCGUAAAGCUCUGUUGUUAAGGAAGAACGAGUGUGAGAAUGGAAAGUUCAUGCUGUGACGGUACUUAACCAGAAAGGGACGGCUAACUACGUUCCAGCAGCCGCGGUAAUACGUAGGUCCCGAGCGUUGUCCGGAGUUAUUGGGCGUAAAGCGAGCGCAGGCGGUUAGAAAAGUAUGAAGUGAAAGGCAGUGGCUCAACCAUUGUAGGCUUUGGAAACUGUUUAACAUGAGUGCAGAAGGGGAGAGUGGAAUUCCAUGUGUAGCGGUGAAAUGCGUAGAUAUAUGGAGGAACACCGGUGGCGAAAGCGGCUGUCUGGUCUGUAACUGACGCUGAGGAUCGAAAGAGUGAGGAGCGAACAGG
This 429-nucleotide ribosomal RNA is filed under the name Bacteroidota bacterium. Its description in RNAcentral is "Bacteroidetes bacterium partial 16S ribosomal RNA". It matches the Rfam family "Bacterial small subunit ribosomal RNA", at positions 355 to 776 of the family's 1533-position model. Lineage: Bacteria; Pseudomonadati; Bacteroidota. The record is from RNAcentral.